GAGCUGCCCCUCUGGAGGAAAAAAAGUUUUAUUUAUGCUGUUGUGGCUGUAUAAAUACUAGUAGCCCAUAAUUGCUAAAGUUAGACUGAAUUAAAUCGCCAUAAGUGAGAAUGUUUAUUUUUCAGGCUCAUCAAACAAGAGUUUGUUGUUGUAAUACCCAUUUCGGCCACAAGAGGCUGAACUGCCCCACUGGACUGAAGUCCUGCAGCCCUGGUGUGCCCCACGAGAAGUUCCAGACAGAAGUCCAACAUUUGACUUGUGGGUCCAGACUUCCAUCCCAGAGGCAUCCAAGCCACGUCGGCGAAGGAGGAGGCCAUGUAAGAGGGCAGAAUGAGCCCUGCACGCUGUUGGAGAGAAAGUCAAACCUGAUGAGCUGUGCGUAGGAAAAAUACAGAGUGCAGAACUCCUUGGUCUAAGCACACCUGAAGGUUCCACUGUUGGCAGAGUACCUGAACCUGAUCAGAUGAGGACAUGACACGUUUCCAGCUUGUCAGUAUUGUGUCAGUACCUACACACAGCUCAUCAGGUUUGAUUUACGCUUAUAAGUUUCCUACCGGUUAUCACAGCUAUCAGUCAGCUACCAUGGCUAUCCAAUCACAUUAUGAAUACCUAGCAGUUUGUCCCCGCCCACAACCGUAGCUUCUCAUUCAUCAUGAUCGGAGAGUACCAAUGACAGAGACGUUAUUCGUUCGCAUGCUGAAAAUAUCCCAAAGUGUUGUGCGUAAAUAAAGACUGUGAGUGUUCGAUUCUUGUCAUUUAAAGUGAUUGCAACAGGAGCGAGUAGCCCAAUACAAUGCCAGGUCUAAACCUAAACCAAUUCACAAGACAGAGAAAUAUGAUUGAGGAAGAUAUUAUUCCCUGGGGCCAUCAGAAAUGGUCUGUGGUGUGAUGUAGGGAGUAAAUGUAAAAAUAGACACUGGUGUUUGCACCCAGGAUGGAUUAUUGACUGCAGACUGGGCUCUCCCCUGCCUCCCCACACAAACCGCCGCUGUUGGUCCGAUCAGUCCUCCGCUGACUGUCAGCUCAGGGACAGAGCUGAUUUAUAGCACACAUGGGCAGAGUGCAUAUUUCCUACGCUGUGAGAGAUAGCUAACAUACCUGUGCUGACAGUGAGGCUGGAGCAAGGCAGCAGCAGUUUCAGGCUGGCAGUGCUUUUUUAAGCUUUUAUAGUCCUAUAGAGAAUGCACGAGUGCUGGAUGAAUGGUGCUCAAUCAUCGUCUUAGCUUAAAUCAGAUACCUGAAGCUGGUGGCUCAGCAUCACACAAUCAAUCCUCUCUGGGACUAAAAUGACUGAACACCCAUAUAUUGAUGGUGAAUCCACUUUGAGUGGGCUACGGUUAUCUUUUGCAUUACAAGACAAAUUGUUUGUCAAAUGUAUCAUCCCUCAUCGUUCUCGAACUUCCAUUUUUGCAGUAAUAUUUAUUUGUGAUGGUUCAGUAUGCAGUGAACAUCUGGCAGUACCAACCCUAACCCUCUAUUCACAAUUUCAGUGUCAUUUUGAUGAAAGACCCACUUGUUUUGAUUCAUUUUUAAUAUUCAGCCACAGAGAGAUGUUGAGAAAUUGCAAAGUGCCAUUUUGCUGAAAUUUGUUUGACUUGCUUUUAAGUGUUAGAUUUAUUUUUCCUCUCUCAUUAUGUGGGUUUGAAAGCUGCACAACAUAUCUUCAACCCUAUUGAUUGUGAAGCAUUUUCAAAAACAUGUCAAUUGCAUCACUGGCAAAGACUGACAAGUAACAUUAUCAUCCAUCAAUAUUUGAUACCAAGAGAAAAACUGCCAUCACUCUACGUACUCUGUGUCUUUCUUUUAUUUUCCUUACAUAUGUUAAUGUUUUAUACAUUCAUCUCCUUACACAAGAUGAAAAAUGCAAGAAAAUGAAAAUGCACUAUGAUGAGGCCUAACUGCAGUCACCAGACAGUAUAUACCAGUAUACAUGCACACGGAAGGUCUUAUAGCAAUCCAGUGAAUGUUGUUCAUCUGUUAUAAACGUGCUGCUGAACCACUUAAAAUAUGCAUUAAGGAUUUCCUAGUCAAUGCAUUAAAUCAUACAGGAGAGAAAAAUGCGAACAGCUUUAUAGAGUAUUUCUCCUCUUUUAGCUCUUUGUUUUGGUUUUACAGUGCACAAAUUCCUCAUCAGUGGGCAUCUAUUUCAAGUGAAAAACCCAGUGUACACCACCUGCCCACCACCAAACAGCAUGCAGCUACUAGCUGCUGAACAUAGUGAAGCAUUUAGCAGCUAGAGACAAAUUUCUCAGGAGUAGGUGGAGACCAAAACAGAGCUAAAAGAGGUGAUUUUGAAUAGUUUGCUGUAACAACUCUACAAGGUGACAGUAUGUCAGUGUGAUGUUUUCAGCUUGUUCUGCUGCCCACAGGUGGCAAAAAAAGAAAGAAAAAAGUUGAUGCAGUUUUAACUUUUGUCCAAUUUGUCAGUCAAAAGAAGGAACAGACAUACAGUAUCAAAUAAACAUGGAAGCUCAAAACAAUAAUAUUCAACCUAUUAGAUUGAUAAUUCGUAAGACAUGAAACAAGUCAGCAAAUACAUUAAUAAAAGCAUCAGAUCAUUAGAACAGAGAAUGCAAAAAUAAUAAGGUAUGGGAAACUACAGGGACACGAUAACCGGCAGUACAGCCUUAGUAUUAUUAACAUUUCACUUCACUUAGUGAUUUCCUUGAUUUCUCAGAUUGCCUUGUUUUCCAGUGGAUGAAAAGCAAGAACUGGGCGUCCAACUCAAAACAUGUCUCAUGGCUGCUGCAAUUUUUCUAAUCAUUUAGGAAAUUAUAUUCAUAAAACAUUUGGAAUAGUCUACUCAUGGUUUUUGUGAAAACUAGUGGCAGCAAAACAAGCUGAAAAUGCAAACUUGAUAUUUUAUCAUUUUAUACAGUUAUGUAAUAUUAACGUAUUAGGAAACAAUUGCCUAUUUACCCAUCCAGCAGACCUGCGGAAAAGUCCAAUAUUUGCUCUCAUUUUAUCUCUGUUUUGAGAAAAAUUUCUGGUUCUGUAGCUGCCAUAUAUUGGCUGACAAUUCUCAGUGGGUUUGUAAAAAUAUUGAUUGGUGCAGCUUAAAUACUUACCAUAUUAGAUCUAUUUGAAUAUGGGUUAAUAGUUGUAGAAUGUUUAAGUGUAUUUUAGUUAGUUUAGUGGAUUGGUAGUUAGUUAACCGACUGAAGUUAAUUUAGAAUGAAACAUCAUACUAAAUACAUAAACAUAAGGAGCCCCCUAA
Molecule: long non-coding RNA, 3217 nt
Organism: Siniperca chuatsi (mandarin fish)
Lineage: Eukaryota; Metazoa; Chordata; Actinopteri; Centrarchiformes; Sinipercidae
Exons: 4
Source: RefSeq, a predicted model, not a curated record